GACGAACGCUGGCGGCGUGCUUAACACAUGCAAGUCGAACGGAAAGGCCCUGCUUUUGUGGGGUGCUCGAGUGGCGAACGGGUGAGUAACACGUGAGUAACCUGCCCUUGACUUUGGGAUAACUUCAGGAAACUGGGGCUAAUACCGGAUAGGAGCUCCUGCUGCAUGGUGGGGGUUGGAAAGCUUCGGCGGUUGGGGAUGGACUCGCGGCUUAUCAGCUUGUUGGUGGGGUAGUGGCUUACCAAGGCUUUGACGGGUAGCCGGCCUGAGAGGGUGACCGGCCACAUUGGGACUGAGAUACGGCCCAGACUCCUACGGGAGGCAGCAGCGGGGAAUAUUGCACAAUGGGCGGAAGCCUGAUGCAGCAACGCCGCGUGCGGGAUGACGGCCUUCGGGUUGUAAACCGCUUCCGCCUGUGACGAAGCGUGAGUGACGGUAAUGGGUAAAGAAGCACCGGCUAACUACGUG
RNAcentral lists this ribosomal RNA (468 nucleotides) under uncultured bacterium. Its description in RNAcentral is "partial 16S ribosomal RNA". It matches the Rfam family "Bacterial small subunit ribosomal RNA", at positions 28 to 507 of the family's 1533-position model. The record is from RNAcentral.